Molecule: non-coding RNA, 71 nt
Organism: Phrynosoma platyrhinos (Desert horned lizard)
Lineage: Eukaryota; Metazoa; Chordata; Lepidosauria; Squamata; Phrynosomatidae
Source: the annotation of a GenBank genome assembly
GCCAGUUGGUGUAGUGGUUUGAGCAUUGUACUACAACUCUGAAAAUCAGGGUUCGAUUCCCUGCUCUGUCA